CUCUCUAAAUAUCUACUUCAACCACUUACAACAGUCCAUGUCAGAGAGAGAGAGGGAGAGAGGGAGAGAGGGAGAGGCGGAGUCGGAGGCGGAGGCGGAGCGACGUGCGGCGUCGGUGGCGCAACAGAUUCCUGGUUCAUCCUUUAAAUCCGCCUCACUCUUUAUGCGUUCUUCUCUUCCCUUCCGCACCUCGCAUUUUCUCCUCGGUACUGUUGCAUGGAUUGGGAGUUCUUCUGUGAAUGCGAUGAGGUCGUGCCCGGAUCUGCGUUCUCUUCUGGGUCUUCUCCGUCUCAGAUUUUGCUGUCGGAAUGAAUUCUCGGUCGUGUUUCCAGGAUUGAUUUCUCGGUUUUUCUUUUUGUGGGUCGGACUUGUUGAGAGAGCUUGUGUUCGUUUGGUUGUUCGUUAAUGGUGUUGAGGGUGUGGUGAAGUCACUGGAGGCAGCGGUUCAUCGAUCUCUUCCUGGGGAAUUUUGUCGAUUCAAAUAAGCAAAACGCAUGAAUCGGUCGAUAAACCUCUGCAUCCAGCGCUCACUCCUUUCUUGUUCUUUGGGUGUGUUUUACUUUUUCUUUUCUCUUCGAUCUCUUUGGCUUGGUGAAAUCUUUAGAUGUUGAGAAGGGCGAGUAGUUUGAAAUUGGGUUCUAAUGGAUGAAUUGGUCUGUGGUUCUUUACUCUGCGUUUUUCUUUUUGUUUUGUUUUGUUUUGUUUUGUUUUCUUGGGUUUUCACACUAAACGAGGUUCUUGUUUGUGCUCCUAGCUUGAUAAUGCUUUUUGCAUGCUUUCAUAAUGCAAAUUAUCAGCUUCCAUGUCCGCUUGGCUUGUGAUGCUGUGGUAACUUACAGAUUUUUAUGAAAUGUAGUAUUUCUUGAUAAGGAAAAAUUGUCGGGAACUUCUGUGAUCUUGAAAAAAGAAAGAAAGAAAUAAAGAAAGAGAGAAGGAUAGUGUGGAUCAUUCGAAGGUGACGCUUUUUAGGAGGAUUUUCUGCAGUUGUGGUGGUGAUUUCACUAUGCUUGCAACUGUUAGAGCUGCAAUUUGUUGUUGAGAUUUGACCAUAUGAAGUUGACAAAUUUUUUGCUUACCCAUAGAUUUCUCCGAGUAAAUUGACCUGCUUUGAAGCAUUACUAUAGUUGCCAAUGCGCGCGGAGCGGACUAUUGUUGAUUGAAUGUGUGGAGUUGAUUUCUCCUCUCGUGUUUCAUCAUCAUCAUUUCAGUUCAUUUCUGGUUCUCCCUCUCAGUCCCAGUUUCUUCGAAUAGUUGCUGAUGAAGGUUCUCCAAUACGAAAAGAUGUCGAAAUUUGUGGGAAAUUGUGGUUUCCUUUUAUGAAGUACAAGUUUGAUAUCAUUUGCCGAAUGGUCGUUAUCUUCACUACAAGCCUGCAUACGUUUAACAAUUCAGUUAGCUUAUCUUUCUAGAUGCCUUCCUCAAAGCGACGUGUUUCCCCUGAUUCUUCUUCAUAAUUUCCUUUGCACCUUUUGGCCAAAAGUUGUGUUCUUCGUGUUGACGCAUUGGAUUAUUUACAAGCUCAAGCUUAUUAUUGCUUCUGUACCUUUUGACAUAAGUACUCCGGGGAGUGAUUUAUCCAGAAGUUUCUACUGGGUCACGCAUGAUUUGAGUUUCAGGAAGUCGUUAGGCAUUUUAAUUUUCUUUUUCCUUCUCUGUCCCUAUCUUUGUUAGUGGAAGUGUGAUACUGGCCGUCUGCAAUGUACCGCAUAGUCUUCUCAUGGUAGCCAUUGUCUAGUUUUUGGGAUGAAAGUGGUUCCCUUCCCAUGAACAUGUCAUUUUCUUUGAUCUGGUGCUAGAAAAGUGGUUCCUUGGUUCCUUUUGGUUCCCCAAGGGGACCAUCUUUGAAUGAAGUUUUCCAGCCGCAGGACAAGCUGCGGCUUCAAAGUGAGGAAAACAACAGCUUGUGGACUACAACUUGGGAGAGAGAAUCCGAAACAUUUGAAGGGAAGCACUUUUGGAAUCUGGCAUCAUGUUCCGCUUACGAAGCUAGCUUGGAAAGAAAGGAAAAGAUUCUUUUGUGUGUACACUGUGGAGGAAUCACCAAAAUCUGGGGGCUUGGGUUUGUGGAAGAAUCUAGGAUGACAUCUGCAGGGCCUUCAGUUUUGUUUGAAGAAAACGGCUCGCCCCCAUUGGCAUCAAUCGGGCUGUUUCGUGCCGUUUAUUGCUUGUCCUCAGAGAAGAUAAUAACUUCGCCGUGCAGUAUUUCCUCAUAUUAUUUCGCGAUUAAUCUCGUGUAUUGCCUAAUGAUGGUGAGGUUGAAAUUAUUGGCUUAGACUGUUUUAAGGAGUUCCGCAAGUUAAAUUUUAGUUUCCUGUCAA
Long non-coding RNA from Rhodamnia argentea, 2318 nucleotides. RefSeq lists it as uncharacterized. Lineage: Eukaryota; Viridiplantae; Streptophyta; Magnoliopsida; Myrtales; Myrtaceae. The record is from RefSeq and is a predicted model, not a curated record. The transcript is spliced from 2 exons.